UCCUCAGUAGCUCAGCGGUAGAGCGGUCGGCUGUUAACUGACUGGUCGUAGGUUCGAAUCCUACUUGAGGGA
RNAcentral lists this transfer RNA (72 nucleotides) under Corchorus capsularis. Its description in RNAcentral is "tRNA tRNA-Asn". It matches the Rfam family "tRNA". From Rfam's summary of the family: Transfer RNA (tRNA) molecules are approximately 80 nucleotides in length. Their secondary structure includes four short double-helical elements and three loops (D, anti-codon, and T loops). Lineage: Eukaryota; Viridiplantae; Streptophyta; Magnoliopsida; Malvales; Malvaceae. The record is from Rfam by way of RNAcentral.